This 73-nucleotide transfer RNA is filed under the name Bacteroidota bacterium. RNAcentral describes it as "Bacteroidetes bacterium (marine metagenome) tRNA-Thr". It matches the Rfam family "tRNA". Rfam says of the family: Transfer RNA (tRNA) molecules are approximately 80 nucleotides in length. Their secondary structure includes four short double-helical elements and three loops (D, anti-codon, and T loops). Lineage: Bacteria; Pseudomonadati; Bacteroidota. The record is from RNAcentral.
GCCGAUGUAGCUCAGAUGGCAGAGCGCGUCCUUGGUAAGGACGAGGUCACGGGUUCAAGUCCCGUCAUUGGCU